UAGCGGUAUCUACAACUGAAGAAGGUGUAGAAGGUGUAGUAGUGGUAUCUACUACCGAAGAAGUUGUAGUAGUGGUAUCUACUACCGAAGAAGUUGAAGUAGUGGUAUCUACUACCGAAGAAGUUGAAGUAGUGGUAUCUACUACCGAAGAAGUUGAAGUAGUGGUAUUUACUACCAAAGGUGUAGUAGUGGUAUUUACUACCAAAGGUAAAGGCACGUGCGCAGGGUAAGAUGAACCAUGUCCCAAGAAUUUAUUCACAUAGCAUCCAGCCUUUGCAUCACCUAUGCAUGAAGUGUGCUGUUUUUGUGACAUCAAUUUGUUUCUCUCUGCAACAUGAUGCUCCAUGUGAG
Molecule: long non-coding RNA, 351 nt
Filed under: Phaseolus vulgaris (common bean)
Lineage: Eukaryota; Viridiplantae; Streptophyta; Magnoliopsida; Fabales; Fabaceae
Description: long non-coding RNA (PVUL_LNC001047)
Source: RNAcentral